GCUGGCGGCAGGCUUAACACAUGCAAGUCGAGCGGGUGUAGCAAUACAUCAGCGGCAGACGGGUGAGUAACGCGUGGGAACAUACCUUUUGGUUCGGAACAACCCAGGGAAACUUGGGCUAAUACCGGAUAAGCCCUUACGGGGAAAGAUUUAUCGCCGAAAGAUUGGCCCGCGUCUGAUUAGCUAGUUGGUGAGGUAAUGGCUCACCAAGGCGACGAUCAGUAGCUGGUCUGAGAGGAUGAUCAGCCACAUUGGGACUGAGACACGGCCCAAACUCCUACGGGAGGCAGCAGUGGGGAAUAUUGGACAAUGGGGGCAACCCUGAUCCAGCCAUGCCGCGUGAGUGAUGAAGGCCCUAGGGUUGUAAAGCUCUUUUGUGCGGGAAGAUAAUGACGGUACCGCAAGAAUAAGCCCCGGCUAACUUCGUGCCAGCAGCCGCGGUAAUACGAAGGGGGCUAGCGUUGCUCGGAAUCACUGGGCGUAAAGGGUGCGUAGGCGGGUCUUUAAGUCAGGGGUGAAAUCCUGG
Molecule: ribosomal RNA, 526 nt
Filed under: uncultured soil bacterium
Lineage: Bacteria
Description: bacterial SSU rRNA
Rfam family: Bacterial small subunit ribosomal RNA
Source: RNAcentral